GCCCAGAUAGCUCAGUCGGUAGAGCGCAAGGCUUUUAACCUUGUGGUCCUGGGUU
RNAcentral lists this transfer RNA (55 nucleotides) under Tieghemostelium lacteum. RNAcentral's name for it is "Dictyostelium lacteum tRNA". It matches the Rfam family "tRNA", at positions 1 to 53 of the family's 71-position model. From Rfam's summary of the family: Transfer RNA (tRNA) molecules are approximately 80 nucleotides in length. Their secondary structure includes four short double-helical elements and three loops (D, anti-codon, and T loops). Further hydrogen bonds mediate the characteristic L-shaped molecular structure. tRNAs have two regions of fundamental functional importance: the anti-codon, which is responsible for specific mRNA codon recognition, and the 3' end, to which the tRNAs corresponding amino acid is attached (by aminoacyl-tRNA synthetases). tRNAs cope with the degeneracy of the genetic code in two manners: having more than one tRNA (with a specific anti-codon) for a particular amino acid; and 'wobble' base-pairing, i.e. permitting non-standard base-pairing at the 3rd anti-codon position. Lineage: Eukaryota; Evosea; Eumycetozoa; Dictyosteliales; Raperosteliaceae. The record is from Rfam by way of RNAcentral.